AUGGGGCCAGGAGGAUACCGCCUUUCGGAGCCUAGGUGGCAGAAGAUGGAGGAGGACCUGAGGGUGCGAGGAAUCCCUCUAGGUACAGAGGGAUGGGACCCAAGGGCCAAAAGCUGGUGGUACGGGCAUGGGGGAUCGCUAGACCCGGAGACAGGGGUGUGUGUUCACCGGCAGAGACAGUUUGCUCCCACCCAAGCCCUUAUUGACGCAAUGACCCAAGCUCAAGAGGGCUUGAUCAAGUUCAACAGAGAGAAAGACGCACUGACAACAGCCCUCGGGAAUGAUGAACACGGAGGACGUGUACGAGGCAAAGGCAAAGUUCCGUGGAAAGUAGGGUUUUCCCAGGACAAUGACCCGUACUGUUACAGAAGCCGUAAGAGAAAGACGAACCGGGAUGCAGAUCUUAUGACGAAGUUUGCAUCGGAACUCCAUGAGUUGAAGCAGACCGUGCAUGAACUAGUAAAAGAAAAAUCGGCUGCAGGGCCGCAUGAAGAUCAUGAAGCGGAUCGCGGAAGCCAGCAGCGGAGAAGCAGCGUGGCUUCCACGGAUGCCCCGCCUGGUGCUAGUGCACCGAUGAUCGAGAUUCGUGCACCGGAGCCUCACUACCCCGUGGAUGAUGUAAAGGAGAUGAAAGAAUGUGAUCUGCAUUAUCCCGUGGGGAACGUUUCCACGAAGGUAGCUAGCGGCAGUGCUUUACCCUGUACACCUGGAGCACUCCACCACAACAACCCCAUUGCAUAUGGCUAUGCUCGUGUCACGGUGGAAGACAUAGUCCAAGGGUUUGAGGACCUGGAGAUUGACAAAGCUACACCCGAAGGGGAGUGA
Molecule: ribosomal RNA, 825 nt
Filed under: Triticum aestivum (bread wheat)
Lineage: Eukaryota; Viridiplantae; Streptophyta; Magnoliopsida; Poales; Poaceae
Description: partial small subunit ribosomal RNA
Source: RNAcentral